GGGUUCUACCGUUGGUCGGGCUUUGUCUGUACUGGCGUGUAGAAUUUCUACCUUCUGGGGAACCAUUAUGUUAUUAAUUUAGCGUGGUGGGAAACCAGGACCUUUACCUUGAAAAAUUAGAGUGUUCAAAGCAGGCUUAUGUCUGAAUACAUUAGCAUGGAAUAAUAGAAUAGGACGGUGGUCCUGUUUUGUUGGUUUCUGAAUCACCGUAAUGAUUAAUAGGGA
Molecule: ribosomal RNA, 225 nt
Filed under: uncultured Glomeromycotina
Lineage: Eukaryota; Fungi; Glomeromycota
Description: partial small subunit ribosomal RNA
Rfam family: Eukaryotic small subunit ribosomal RNA (bases 38-225)
Source: RNAcentral